This is a non-coding RNA of Daphnia pulex (common water flea), 45 nucleotides long. Lineage: Eukaryota; Metazoa; Arthropoda; Branchiopoda; Diplostraca; Daphniidae. The record is from Rfam.
AAAUCGGCCCUUUUCAGGGCCACCAAAAAAAUAAAGAAAAAGUUA